CAGAUUCUCCGUCUCCAUGGCCCGUAUCUCCUCCAGCUCCUGCUCCCUCUUCGCCAUCCUCACCACCGCCGCAUCGCCCCUCCCCGACGGUCGCGGCGCCGCCGCCAGUCCCGCGAACCGCGUCGCCGGCGCGCCAAAUGAGCGGAGGCCGAGGAAUGGCGCUCGGGGCGCGGACACGGCGAGGCCGCGGGGAGUGGAGGCGGUGAGGGGUGAGGCCGCGGCGAGGGACAUCGUCGCCAUCUUCGUGUUGCGCUCUCUGCUCGCGUUUUGCUGCUUGGGCUCGAGGAUAAGGGGAUGAUGGGGUUUAUCUGAUUGUCUAGGUGGCCUUCGGUGUUGCAC
RNAcentral lists this long non-coding RNA (339 nucleotides) under Triticum aestivum (bread wheat). RNAcentral describes it as "long non-coding RNA (TAES_LNC012423)". The record is from RNAcentral. Lineage: Eukaryota; Viridiplantae; Streptophyta; Magnoliopsida; Poales; Poaceae.